UACGUAGGUGGCAAGCGUUAUCCGGAUUUAUUGGGUGUAAAGGGCGUGUAGGCGGGAAAGCAAGUCAGAUGUGAAAACUCAGGGCUCAACCCUGAGCCUGCAUUUGAAACUGUUUUUCUUGAGUGCUGGAGAGGCAAUCGGAAUUCCGUGUGUAGCGGUGAAAUGCGUAGAUAUACGGAGGAACACCAGUGGCGAAGGUGGAUUGCUGGACAGUAACUGACGCUGAGGCGCGAAAGCGUGGGGAGCAAACAGG
RNAcentral lists this ribosomal RNA (253 nucleotides) under uncultured bacterium. Its description in RNAcentral is "partial 16S ribosomal RNA". It matches the Rfam family "Bacterial small subunit ribosomal RNA", at positions 524 to 776 of the family's 1533-position model. The record is from RNAcentral.